RNAcentral lists this ribosomal RNA (457 nucleotides) under uncultured bacterium. RNAcentral's name for it is "bacterial SSU rRNA". It matches the Rfam family "Bacterial small subunit ribosomal RNA", at positions 340 to 786 of the family's 1533-position model. The record is from RNAcentral.
UACGGAAGGCAGCAGUGGGGAAUAUUGCACAAUGGGCGCAAGCCUGAUGCAGCCAUGCCGCGUGUAUGAAGAAGGCCUUCGGGUUGUAAAGUACUUUCAGUCGUGAGGAAGGUGUUAAGGUUAAUAACCUUAGCAAUUGACGUUAGCGACAGAAGAAGCACCGGCUAACUCCGUGCCAGCAGCCGCGGUAAUACGGAGGGUGCGAGCGUUAAUCGGAAUUACUGGGCGUAAAGGGCACGCAGGCGGUUAAUUAAGUUGGAUGUGAAAUCCCCGGGCUUAACCUGGGAAUGGCAUUCAAGACUGGUUAGCUAGAGUCUUGUAGAGGGGGUAGAAUUCCAUGUGUAGCGGUGAAAUGCGUAGAGAUGUGGAGGAAAUACCGGUGGCGAAGGCGGCCCCCUGGACAAAGGACUGACGCUCAUGUGCGAAAAGUGUGGGGAGCAAACAGGGAUUAGAUACC